This 429-nucleotide ribosomal RNA is filed under the name Gemmatimonadota bacterium. RNAcentral's name for it is "Gemmatimonadetes bacterium partial 16S ribosomal RNA". It matches the Rfam family "Bacterial small subunit ribosomal RNA", at positions 355 to 776 of the family's 1533-position model. Lineage: Bacteria; Pseudomonadati; Gemmatimonadota. The record is from RNAcentral.
UAGGGAAUCUUCGGCAAUGGACGAAAGUCUGACCGAGCAACGCCGCGUGAGUGAAGAAGGUUUUCGGAUCGUAAAACUCUGUUGUUAGAGAAGAACAAGGACGUUAGUAACUGAACGUCCCCUGACGGUAUCUAACCAGAAAGCCACGGCUAACUACGUGCCAGCAGCCGCGGUAAUACGUAGGUGGCAAGCGUUGUCCGGAUUUAUUGGGCGUAAAGCGAGCGCAGGCGGUUUCUUAAGUCUGAUGUGAAAGCCCCCGGCUCAACCGGGGAGGGUCAUUGGAAACUGGGAGACUUGAGGGCAGAAGAGGAGAGUGGAAUUCCAGGUGUAGCGGUGAAAUGCGUAGAUAUAUGGAGGAACACCAGUGGCGAAGGCGGCUCUCUGGUCUGUAACUGACGCUGAGGCUCGAAAGCGUGGGGAGCAAACAGG